This 429-nucleotide ribosomal RNA is filed under the name Pseudomonadota bacterium. RNAcentral describes it as "Proteobacteria bacterium partial 16S ribosomal RNA". It matches the Rfam family "Bacterial small subunit ribosomal RNA", at positions 355 to 776 of the family's 1533-position model. The record is from RNAcentral. Lineage: Bacteria; Pseudomonadati; Pseudomonadota.
UGGGGAAUAUUGGACAAUGGGGGGAACCCUGAUCCAGCCAUGCCGCGUGUGUGAAGAAGGUCUUCGGAUUGUAAAGCACUUUAAGUUGGGAGGAAGGGCAGUAAGCGAAUACCUUGCUGUUUUGACGUUACCGACAGAAUAAGCACCGGCUAACUCUGUGCCAGCAGCCGCGGUAAUACAGAGGGUGCGAGCGUUAAUCGGAUUUACUGGGCGUAAAGCGUGCGUAGGCGGCUAAUUGAGUCGGAUGUGAAAUCCCCGAGCUUAACUUGGGAAUUGCAUUCGAUACUGGUUAGCUAGAGUGUGGGAGAGGAUGGUAGAAUUCCAGGUGUAGCGGUGAAAUGCGUAGAGAUCUGGAGGAAUACCGAUGGCGAAGGCAGCCAUCUGGCCUAACACUGACGCUGAGGUACGAAAGCAUGGGGAGCAAACAGG